AGUAAGAUGGCUGAGAGAAUAAGCGGUGGAUUGUAAAUCCAUACACAAAGGUUAAAAUCCUUUUCUUACUACAUUA
Molecule: transfer RNA, 76 nt
Filed under: Tripneustes gratilla (Hawaiian sea urchin)
Lineage: Eukaryota; Metazoa; Echinodermata; Echinoidea; Temnopleuroida; Toxopneustidae
Description: tRNA-Tyr
Rfam family: tRNA
About the family: Transfer RNA (tRNA) molecules are approximately 80 nucleotides in length. Their secondary structure includes four short double-helical elements and three loops (D, anti-codon, and T loops). Further hydrogen bonds mediate the characteristic L-shaped molecular structure. tRNAs have two regions of fundamental functional importance: the anti-codon, which is responsible for specific mRNA codon recognition, and the 3' end, to which the tRNAs corresponding amino acid is attached (by aminoacyl-tRNA synthetases). tRNAs cope with the degeneracy of the genetic code in two manners: having more than one tRNA (with a specific anti-codon) for a particular amino acid; and 'wobble' base-pairing, i.e. permitting non-standard base-pairing at the 3rd anti-codon position.
Source: RNAcentral